GAUGAACGCUAGCUGGAGGCUUAAUACAUGCAAGUCGAGCGGGAUUGGGUAGCAAUACCCAUGAGAGCGGCGCACGGGUGAGUAACGCGUACACGACCUACCUCUAACAGGGGGAUAGCCCUGGGAAACUGGGAUUAAUACCGCAUAUAAUUCUGAAUAAUAAAGGUUUGGAAUGAAAGCUGAGGUGGUUAGAGAUGGGUGUGCGUCUGAUUAGCUAGUUGGUAGGGUAACGGCCUACCAAGGCGAUGAUCAGUAGGGGGCGUGAGAGCGUGGUCCCCCACACGGGUACUGAGACACGGACCCGACUCCUACGGGAGGCAGCAGUAAGGAAUAUUGGUCAAUGGGCGAAAGCCUGAACCAGCCAUCCAGCGUGCAGGAAGAAGGCCCUAUGGGUUGUAAACUGCUUUUAUCAGGGAAGAAACCUCUGGAUUUACUCCGGAGCUGACGGUACCUGAAGAAUAAGCACCGGCUAACUCCGUGCCAGCCGCCGCGGUAA
This 496-nucleotide ribosomal RNA is filed under the name uncultured bacterium. RNAcentral's name for it is "partial 16S ribosomal RNA". It matches the Rfam family "Bacterial small subunit ribosomal RNA", at positions 28 to 523 of the family's 1533-position model. The record is from RNAcentral.